AUAUAAUUAUUUGAAUAAUUAAUUAUCAAAUUUAUAAAAUAAUAAUAAAUUUAAAAAAAUUUUAGUAAUAAUUAUAAAAAAAUAAAUAAUUUUAUAGAAUUAGUAUUGUGAAAGAAAUAUAAUUAUUAUAGUAAAAUAACUAAUAAAAUCAGUUACCUUUUGUAUCAGGGUUUAUUAAAUUUAAUAAUUAUAUUAAUUAUUUCUCGAAACAAAUUGAUCUAUUUAUUUAUAAUAGUUAAUGUAAAAUAAUUAUUAUAAAUUAAUAAAUUGAAGUGAUAAAUUUUAUCAUAAUUUGUAUAUCUAGUUAUUUUAUAAAUAAAUUUAAUUUAAUUAAAAUUUAUUAUAUAAUUUAAGUGAUUAAAUUAUAUAAAAAUUUUAUUAAAAUUAUUAGGGAUAAACUUAAUAAUUUUUAUAAUAUAAUUUUAUUAUUAUUAUUUAAUUUCUAUAAAAAUAUAAAUUUUUUUUAGUAAAUAAUUUGUAAUAAUUAAUAAUUAUUUGAUAAAAUUUUUAUAAAAUUAUUUAAUUAAAUAUAAAAUUAUUAAUUUUAAUUAAUAAAAUUAAUUAAUUAUAAUAAAAUUAGUAAAAUUAUUUAAAUAAAUUAAAUAAUAUAAUUGAAUGAUUAUAAAUUAAGGAAUUAGGCAAUAAUACAUUAUUCACCUGUUUAUUAAAAACAUGGUUUAUUGAAUAUAAUAAUAAAUUAAUUCUGCUCAAUGAGUAAAUUCUUAAAUAGCUGCAGUAUUUUAACUGUACAAAGGUAGCAUAAUCAAUUGUCUUUUUAUUAAAGUCUGGAAUGAAAGAAAUGAUGAAAUAAUAACUGUCUCAAAAUAAUUAAUGUUUAAACUUUAUUAUAAGUUAAAAUUCUUAUAUAUAUAUAAAAGACGAGAAGACCCUAUAGAAUUUUAUUAUUAUUAUUAAUAUUUUAUUAUUAUUUAUAAAAAUUAUUAUAAUAAUAAUUAUAUUGGGGGGAUAUAAAAAUUUAAUUAAUUUUUUAAGUAAUUUUAACAAAAAUAUUUGAAUUAUUUUAUCCAAUAUUAUUGAAUGUAAUAUAAAUUACCUUAGGGAUAACAGCGUUAAAUUUUUAGAGAGUUCAUAUUGAUAAAAAAUUUUGCGACCUCGAUGUUGAAUUAAAAUAAAUUAUUAUUGUAGAUAAUAAUAUAAUUUAGUCUGUUCGACUAUUAAAAUUUUACAUGAUUUGAGUUUAGAUCGGUGUAAGCCAGAUCGGAUUCUAUCUUUAUAAAAUUAUAAUAUUUUUGUACGAAAGGACUUUAUAUUAAUAAUAAUUAUUAUAAUUUUGAAUAAAAUUAUAUAAAUUA
This 1313-nucleotide ribosomal RNA is filed under the name Pteromalus puparum. RNAcentral describes it as "16S ribosomal RNA". Lineage: Eukaryota; Metazoa; Arthropoda; Insecta; Hymenoptera; Pteromalidae. The record is from RNAcentral.